RNAcentral lists this ribosomal RNA (691 nucleotides) under uncultured Alteromonas sp. RNAcentral's name for it is "bacterial SSU rRNA". It matches the Rfam family "Bacterial small subunit ribosomal RNA", at positions 75 to 766 of the family's 1533-position model. The record is from RNAcentral. Lineage: Bacteria; Pseudomonadati; Pseudomonadota; Gammaproteobacteria; Alteromonadales; Alteromonadaceae.
UGUGCUUGCACAUCGCUGACGAGUGGCGGACGGGUGCGUAAUGCUUGGGAACUUGCCUUUGCGAGGGGGAUAACAGUUGGAAACGACUGCUAAUACCGCAUAAUGUCUUCGGACCAAACGGGGCUUAGGCUCCGGCGCAAAGAGAGGCCCAAGUGAGAUUAGCUAGUUGGUAAGGUAACGGCUUACCAAGGCGACGAUCUCUAGCUGUUCUGAGAGGAAGAUCAGCCACACUGGGACUGAGACACGGCCCAGACUCCUACGGGAGGCAGCAGUGGGGAAUAUUGCACAAUGGGGGAAACCCUGAUGCAGCCAUGCCGCGUGUGUGAAGAAGGCCUUCGGGUUGUAAAGCACUUUCAGUUGUGAGGAAAAGUUAGUAGUUAAUACCUGCUAGCCGUGACGUUAACAACAGAAGAAGCACCGGCUAACUCCGUGCCAGCAGCCGCGGUAAUACGGAGGGUGCGAGCGUUAAUCGGAAUUACUGGGCGUAAAGCGCACGCAGGCGGUUUGUUAAGCUAGAUGUGAAAGCCCCGGGCUCAACCUGGGAUGGUCAUUUAGAACUGGCAGACUAGAGUCUUGGAGAGGGGAGUGGAAUUCCAGGUGUAGCGGUGAAAUGCGUAGAUAUCUGGAGGAACGUCAGUGGCGAAGGCGACUCCCUGGCCAAAGACUGACGCUCAUGUGCGAAAGUGUGGGU